Molecule: transfer RNA, 55 nt
Filed under: Telamonia vlijmi
Lineage: Eukaryota; Metazoa; Arthropoda; Arachnida; Araneae; Salticidae
Description: tRNA-Ser
Source: RNAcentral
AUGGAUUAGUUUAUAAAAAGCUGCUAACUUUUUUAUAGCGAAUAGCUACUUUAUA